CUACGGGGUGCUGCAGUGGGGAAUAUUGCACAAUGGGCGAAAGCCUGAUGCAGCAACGCCGUGUGAGUGAUGACGGUCUUCGGAUUGUAAAACUCUGUCCUAAGGGAAGAAACAAAUGACGGUACCUUAGGAGGAAGCCCCGGCUAACUACGUGCCAGCAGCCGCGGUAAUACGUAGGGGGCAAGCGUUAUCCGGAAUCACUGGGCGUAAAGGGUGCGUAGGCGGCUUAGCAAGCCAGGGGUGAAAGGCAUUGGCUCAACCAAUGUAAGCCUUUGGAACUGUUAGGCUUGAGUGCAGGAGAGGUAAGUGGAAUUCCUAGUGUAGAGGUGAAAUUCGUAGAUAUUAGGAGGAACACCAGUGGCGAAGGCGACUUACUGGACUGUAACUGACGCUGAGGCACGAAAGCGUGGGGAGCGAACAGGAUUAGAUACCCGAGUAGUC
Molecule: ribosomal RNA, 441 nt
Filed under: uncultured bacterium
Lineage: Bacteria
Description: partial 16S ribosomal RNA
Rfam family: Bacterial small subunit ribosomal RNA
Source: RNAcentral